AACCUUAUCAUUUAGAGGAAGGAGAAGUCGUUUCAAGGUUUCCGUAGGUGAACCUGCGGAAGG
RNAcentral lists this ribosomal RNA (63 nucleotides) under Bifrenaria grandis. RNAcentral describes it as "Rudolfiella grandis partial 18S ribosomal RNA". It matches the Rfam family "Eukaryotic small subunit ribosomal RNA", at positions 1762 to 1824 of the family's 1831-position model. The record is from RNAcentral. Lineage: Eukaryota; Viridiplantae; Streptophyta; Magnoliopsida; Asparagales; Orchidaceae.